This 432-nucleotide ribosomal RNA is filed under the name uncultured bacterium. RNAcentral describes it as "bacterial SSU rRNA". It matches the Rfam family "Bacterial small subunit ribosomal RNA", at positions 29 to 508 of the family's 1533-position model. The record is from RNAcentral.
AACGAACGCUGGCGGCAGGCUUAACACAUGCAAGUCGAACGCCCCGCAAGGGGAGUGGCAGACGGGUGAGUAACGCGUGGGAAUCUACCCAUCUCUACGGAAUAACUCAGGGAAACUUGUGCUAAUACCGUAUACGCCCUUCGGGGGAAAGAUUUAUCGGAGAUGGAUGAGCCCGCGUUGGAUUAGCUAGUUGGUGGGGUAAAGGCCUACCAAGGCGACGAUCCAUAGCUGGUCUGAGAGGAUGAUCAGCCACAUUGGGACUGAGACACGGCCCAAACUCCUACGGGAGGCAGCAGUGGGGAAUAUUGGACAAUGGGCGCAAGCCUGAUCCAGCCAUGCCGCGUGAGUGAUGAAGGCCCUAGGGUUGUAAAGCUCUUUCACCGGUGAAGAUAAUGACGGUAACCGGAGAAGAAGCCCCGGCUAACUUCGUGC